RNAcentral lists this ribosomal RNA (300 nucleotides) under Triticum aestivum (bread wheat). Its description in RNAcentral is "partial small subunit ribosomal RNA". Lineage: Eukaryota; Viridiplantae; Streptophyta; Magnoliopsida; Poales; Poaceae. The record is from RNAcentral.
AUGUGCACGUCCUCACAUCUGAUGGGCGUGACAGCGCUCUUGGCCCAGUUCGUUCGCAAGCCUGUCGCCGAAUGGAAGGUGCCGAGUAGGCUAAUCGCAGCAUGGAGUUCUUUCCUUGAGGGAUUGAUGAAAGCUAUCAUGUCGUCAGCGUACAUGGACACUCGGAAAGGCAUGACCUGCUUCCCAAUAUCUGCCAGGACCUUGCUUCUGCAGGCCGCAUCGAAAAGGGCAGCUAGGGCAUCCAUGGCAAGGACUGUUAAAGUAUUCCUUUUGUCUGUAUUUUAUGUAAUAGGAAACUAG